AUUUGGAUAUGUCCAGGGAGUCCAAGCUGAGCCGGGCCAGGCUGGGCCAGAAGCGUCAGCACAGCAGCAGCCUGUACCACAGUAACUGUGACCUGGACUAUGAUCUCUACAGGGACGACUUCCCAUACCGGUGAGCACAGCAUUCCAGGAGCGAGAUGAGCUGAGCAUGGCUGGGUUUGACCUGUGACUGUCUCUGAUCAUGGAAAAACGGGGUGUCCCUGGGCAUCCGUCCCCUUGCCUUUGACAAAGGCUCGGUCGUGUUUCCCCCCUUGAGGGAGCUGCACCUUCCCCAGGCUGGGGGCCUUGGGGAGGGGUACCUGGGGCAGGGACAGCAUGUGGGCAGGGCAGGGCCCAGCCUGGGAGUCCUUCACUGCACAGGGACCCCAGGACAUGCUCUCUUGGCUGGCAGGGGCUGCUGCUGCACCUCUGAGGUUGUGUUCACGCCCCGUGCUCUUGUGCCCUUGCAGGGUAUACGAGUACCAGAAGAUCCCCCCACUCAUUAACCGCAUCCCAGUCAAGACCAGGCGGACUCACUCGAGAGCAGGAAGCAAGAGCAGCCUGAGUCCCCAGCCUGGGACAAGGAGCAGCACCAGCUCCACAACAGGACGGACAAAGUUGCAAGUUGAAGAGCUGCACUCCAUCAAGGGGGAGCUGAGCCAGAUCAAGGCGCAGGUGGACAGUCUGCUGGAGAGCCUGGACCGCAUGGACCAGCGGAGAGAGCGUCUCACAGGGUCCAAGGAAAGCGAGAAGAAGAGGGCAGAGCCGGGGACAGAGUCACCAUCCCCAGCUGGAGAGGGGUCACAGGAGUCACGGAGAAAGGAGGGGACAAGGGCUGAUGGGGACAGAGACCUGCACAACAUUGACAGUGCAGAGGAGAGCACAGACACAGAGGAGACGGUGAAAACCCACAUUUCGGACUCCAAGGGGAGCCAGUAGCCAGCCUGGGAUGCUGUGGCCUUCCUGUGGGGCCAGCCCUUCCCAGCUUGUGUUCUUUAUUUCUUUUGAGGCUUCCAGCUAGUGCCACACACGACACGAGGUGCCUACCCUCGGCAUGGCCAUCCCCUGCCACUGGCAGCCUCAUGUCCUAUCCUGGAAGUUGCCCGCCAGCUCUGGUGACAGUUUUUGUGUUCCAGUGCACUUGUUUUCUUUUUCCUUCUGUUUUCAGACCAAUGGAUAAGCAGAGGUGGCCUGGGGAGGGAAGGGAGAAGUAAAAAAUAGAAAGGACCAUAUCCCAGAGUAGCAUCUCAAAUCCCAGCUGGUCUGCGGCCAGCAUCGCCUCACCCACAGGAUGCUGUGGAGAGAGAAUGUAGCCCAGUGUUCCCACCCCUAUGGCACAACUGGCAUCCCAACCUUCAGACCCUGGGAACUGGUGCAGCAGGCACAGGUACAGCCCAGGAUGGCUUUCAGAGCUGCUCAGUGUCCCACCUUAGGAAGAAGGAACCAUGCUAAGCCAGCUUUAGGAGGCUUUUGUGGGAUUUUAGGAUGGUGCCAAGCCUAACUCUGAUGUGACCUGCAGGACCAGCAGUGGGGCAAUACCAACCCAAUCAUUCCCACUUGCCCCAGCUCCCAAAUGUGUUUUCCUUACUGAUUUUCCACAGGCUGUUCUCAGCCAGGCAUUGCAUCUGCAGCCAGCAGGACUCUAGUAAGAGCUUUACUAGAACCCAAAAAGUCCUGGUCCCCCUUGUGCUCCCCAGUGUCACAUUUCAGUUACAUGUCCCUCAUUUCUGUUGUCCUUCUCUCACUGGUAGGAACUUGUUCUGUAUUUCUAAUUUGCUCUGGUAAAAGAGUGUAUUGUCUUGGAAAGAAAAAUUUAUAUUUCUUUUAUCUGGUUAUUUGACUCCAAUGCAGUUUUUAACCAUCUGAAGUGAACAGUUUUGUACCCCAUUUUAUGCACUGCCAGACACAGCCCUCAGCUCUGAGGGCUUUCUUGGAUGCUGCCUUUCCUACAGCUCAACCCACAGGCACGAGUGCAGCUCUGCUCUGUAUCCCAAUGGAAAAUACCCCAACUUCCCUACCAGCCCACCAUGAUGCAACUUGGCAGACAAGACCACCUGCUGCACUCCAUCCCCAGGAAUAACCAGAUUCCAAGGAAGCACCCAGCUCCCCCUGAACUCCUCAGGGACAGUGGGAGCAGAGAGGGUCACCCCAACUGUAGAAGCACAUCCUUCCACCUCUGCCCAUGGCAGAGGGCCAUGCAAGCAGAAGACUCACCAGAAAAAAUAUUAUUUAUUAUUACAAAAAAAAUUAACAAAACACAACUCUGCCACCCUGAAGCACUGCCUGGGCAAUAAGUCCAAUGGAUGCUAGUCCAUGCCAUGAUGUGGUUCCUGCCUGGUUCUGCCUAGAUGCUGCCUGCACAGAUGGAUACAGUGGGGAGCUUGGAGUGAGGGUUUCAGCCUGGUGCUGUGACCACCCCGGGGUGAGAUGUGGGGUCCUGGAGUGCCAGCAACUGCAUGGAGGGAGGUGUUGGGCAGGCUCUGGCUGCUGAGGCAGUAUGGAGGUCUUGGGGGGGCUUCAGCAGCGUGCAAGGCUGUUUGGGUCCCAUGGUGCCAGUCGAGAAUGGCCUCCCGCGACACGAUGGCUCCUUAGGUGCACUCUGGGGUGCUUGGGCAGUGCAGACUCCUGUGUCCUUCAGCACAGUUCUUGGGUCUCCAGCUACGUGGGCAGCACAAGGGGGUCUCCAGCAGUGCAAAGGUAGGCUCAUCCAGUCUCCAGCAGCAUGAGGCAUUGAUCAGGCUAGGUCUGGGCAUUCACCAGCAGUUACAAUUAAACUUAAGCUUCAACUUAAUAAACUUCUAAGAUUCUAAAAUAAACUUAUUUUA
Molecule: long non-coding RNA, 2822 nt
Filed under: Cyanistes caeruleus (blue tit)
Lineage: Eukaryota; Metazoa; Chordata; Aves; Passeriformes; Paridae
Description: lncRNA (ENSCCEG00000008741.1)
Source: RNAcentral